AGCGAACGCUGGCGGCAGGCUUAACACAUGCAAGUCGAACGCAUCCUUCGGGGUGAGUGGCAGACGGGUGAGUAACACGUGGGAACGUACCCUUCGAUCUGGGAUAACUUCGGGAAACUGGAGCUAAUACCGGAUACGCCCUUUUGGGGGAAGGUUUACUGUCGAAGGAUCGGCCCGCGUCUGAUUAGCUAGUUGGUGGGGUAACGGCCUACCAAGGCGACGAUCAGUAGCUGGUCUGAGAGGAUGAUCAGCCACACUGGGACUGAGACACGGCCCAGACUCCUACGGGAGGCAGCAGUGGGGAAUAUUGGACAAUGGGCGCAAGCCUGAUCCAGCCAUGCCGCGUGAGUGAUGAAGGCCUUAGGGUUGUAAAGCUCUUUUGUCCGGGACGAUAAUGACGGUACCGGAAGAAUAAGCCCCGGCUAACUUCGUG
RNAcentral lists this ribosomal RNA (433 nucleotides) under uncultured bacterium. RNAcentral's name for it is "partial 16S ribosomal RNA". It matches the Rfam family "Bacterial small subunit ribosomal RNA", at positions 29 to 507 of the family's 1533-position model. The record is from RNAcentral.